Crotalus tigris (Tiger rattlesnake) is the source of this 1864-nucleotide long non-coding RNA. RefSeq lists it as uncharacterized. The transcript is spliced from 5 exons. The record is from RefSeq and is a predicted model, not a curated record. Lineage: Eukaryota; Metazoa; Chordata; Lepidosauria; Squamata; Viperidae.
AUUCACUUAACAACCAUGUUAUUAAUUGCAGUGAUUCACUUAACAACUGUGGUAGGAAAGCUUCCUGAAAACUGUUGUGCUAUGUUCAUCACAAGGUAUAAUUGAUUAUUCAUGAGAAGUGGAAGCCUGAUCCUCUCUUUGUGGAGAUACAAGCUAUCCAGAGCCAUUGAUGAUUGGGACACCCUCAAAAAUAAAAAGAUGAAAUAAGUAAAUUCCUCUCAGCUCCUCGGCAGUCUGCUCUGGGAAUCAAAACAAACCUACAGCAUCCUUCAUUAUCUAUCCUGAUGGCAUUGCUGCUUCUUCCCAGAUAAUAUUUCUCCAGUCCAAUAAUCUCACCAUGGGUUCCAAUAUCAAGGAUGGAAACUUACUGGCAAGAGAACAGAAUGAAGCUAUGGCAUAUUGGAUCUCAUUCUGGGGUCAGAGACAAUAAAGAUGUUUGUGACAAACACCCCCUUUUAUGUCCUUCCAUAUGCAGUCAUAUUUCAUGGAAGCUGCAAGAGAGAUUCAUACAUACACUGGACCAGAUCCAAGUCAGUAAUAUUUUAAGGAACCAUGGAGGGGCAUGAAGGCAGAUCACCUCUUUCUUCAAGUGGAUACAAUGGAUAUGGGUAGCAGGGCCAAAUAAAUAGACUCCCAAUUUCUAGGAGGUGAUCCAAAGAUGACUGUCAUCUAAAGUAGUGAGAGUGAGAGCUGGAUGCCCAUGUUCCAACCUGUUCAAAUAUAUAUUACCACUCCAAUAUACAGUGCUGACCAAUGCUAAUUUUCACCAAAAUACUUUCCACACAGAUAAGUUGAAGUUUGGAAGAACAGUUUUGAAAUGAGGAAGGAAGGAAACUUGAAACCAACAAGAGCAAACUUAAACAUCCAUGAAGCAAAGAGAAAGUGACUAGCCCAACAUCAUCCAGCUGGCUUCAUACCUAAAGUGGGACCAGAACUCCAAGUCUCCCAAUUUAAAGCCUGGUGUCUUAACCACUACCUCAAAUUGGUUCUCUUUAGGACUGAUGCUUGCUUCCCAUUGAAGAAAGUGGAGAAGCUGAGGGAAGUAGAGGGAUUGGAAGAUGUUUUAGAAGUUGUUGUUUUAUUCUUUUUCAAUACAGGUAGUCUUUGACUUAUGAUUGUAAUUGAGCCUGGGAUUAUGGUUGUAGGCCAUACUGAUCAUCUUUCCAAAGUCAUGCAAGGUUUUCAAAAUCUCAAAAAGCCCAGCAUGGAUAAUCAGUAUUUAGAACAGAAGCUACUUCAAAGUUCAUCUAGUUGCAUAACAAGGUCUCAUGGAACAGAGAGUUUAUGUUUAUAUUUCAGACCUGGGGCAGAGAAGCAAUUUUGAAAUCUCUAAAUCACUGACCAGAUCCACAUAUGGAUAACGAUCCAAGUUGAAUGUGGAUCGUUUGGGUCCACUUAGAAAUCCAUGAGCUUGCCAGAUUCCUGAUUCCUUGCUAGAUUCCUGAUCAGAUGGGCCAAGGACCAGAAAUGGAAAACUCAAGCAAUUUGAAAACUCAGCAGCAGUCAUCUUCUCAUAGUGGAAGUAAGAGGAAAAUGUUGCUUCCUUCCUUGUAGACCUUAUACCUUAUACCAUAAAUUGUUGUUGUGGCAAGUAAGGGAACCCUUUGAACAGUGAGAGGCAACAGUGGGAAUCAGCAGAGAUCACAUCUGUACCCUGUCUCUUUCUUUCAGUGCUGAUCCUUGCUGGAUCCAUAUGCUUUAAUUAUAAGCGGAAGGACCUUUUCCUUUCAUGAAUGAUUAAACUCCAUGUUAGUUAAUAUAAAUAUUACAAAAGGAUAAAUUAUUCUGUGACAGCGAAAACACACCACCCAAGAGUUAUGUAGCAUGCAGCACAUGUUCUUUCUAGACCAGGGCUUUUCAACCU